CUUUGGGGGCUGGGCUGCGCCGGCUCUGGGCUGCAAGAAGAUGAACGCUGGUACUAAAUGUUUCCUCAGGAGCUGGCACAGAAAAUCAAGGGCUACCAGGAGCAGAUCGCGUCUUUGAAUUCCAAAUGCAAGAUGCUAAUGAUGAAGGCCAAGCAUGCCACCAUGCUGCUGACAGUGACAGAGGUUGAGGGGCUGGCGGAAGGGAUGGAGGAUCUGGACCGAGAGCUCCUCCCCACGUCUUCGGCUCACCCCUCCUUGGUCAUGAUGACUGCAGGUCGCUGUCACACUUUGCUGUCACCUGUCACUGAAGAAUCUGGGGAGGAGGGAACCAACAGUGAGAUUUCUUCUCCACCUGCCUGUCGCUCCCCUUCACCUGUGGCUAACACAGAGGCUUCUGUUAACCAGGUACCUCCCACUGUCUUCCCCUCACUGAGCUCUGGGUGGAUGCAGGACAUCAUUGUCGGCCCUAACUAGUCUGGAUCUCAGGCUCCAUCACAUUUGGGUCCAGGAAUUCGUCAUGAGGGGCUGUAGUUCCAUCAUUUGUGAUUGCUGUGUGAGGUGACUGGCCCAGUCUGUCAUCUCUUCUGAGCUACUGAUGGGAUGAGCAAAUUUUAGUUUGUGGAAAUUACAGCUGAUGUGGACAAAAAAUUCAUUCAUGAGAAUUAUAGCCCGAAACAGCUCUCUUUUAAGGCCUUAUAGCUUUAGUUUGUAGCCGUCAUGUGGAAAGAAGUACUGCAUCCCAACAGAUAAUAAAAGGCUUCUGUCACUUUUGUGAAGUCACAUGAUCCUA
This 790-nucleotide long non-coding RNA is filed under the name Nannospalax galili (Upper Galilee mountains blind mole rat). Its description in RNAcentral is "lncRNA (ENSNGAG00000024413.1)". The record is from RNAcentral. Lineage: Eukaryota; Metazoa; Chordata; Mammalia; Rodentia; Spalacidae.